This 169-nucleotide ribosomal RNA is filed under the name Yamadazyma triangularis. Its description in RNAcentral is "partial 18S rRNA". It matches the Rfam family "Eukaryotic small subunit ribosomal RNA", at positions 1484 to 1653 of the family's 1831-position model. Lineage: Eukaryota; Fungi; Ascomycota; Pichiomycetes; Serinales; Debaryomycetaceae. The record is from RNAcentral.
GGGCCGCACGCGCGCUACACUGACGGAGCCAGCGAGUAUUUACCUUGGCCGAGAGGUCUGGGUAAUCUUGUGAAACUCCGUCGUGCUGGGGAUAGAGCAUUGUAAUUAUUGCUCUUCAACGAGGAAUUCCUAGUAAGCGUAAGUCAUCAGCUUGCGUUGAUUACGUCCC